AUGGCGGCGGGGGCGGCCCAGGCGAGGCAGCCGUGGCAGUGGUGGAAGUCGGCUCUGCCCAGCAGUUUGAAGAGCUACUGCGCCUCAAAACCAAGUCACUCCUUGUGGUUCAUUUCUGGGCACCAUGGGCUCCACAGUGUGUACAGAUGAACGAUGUCAUGGCAGAGUUAGCUAAAGAACACCCUCAUGUUUCAUUUGUGAAGCUGGAAGCCGAAGCUGUUCCUGAAGUAUCUGAAAAAUAUGAAAUUAGCUCUGUCCCCAGCUUCCUGUUCUUCAAGAAUUCUCAGAAAGUCGACCGGUUAGAUGGUGCACAUGCCCCAGAGUUGACCAAAAAAGUCCAGCGACACGUGUCUAGCGGAGCCUUUCGCCUAGUACUAAUGAACAUCUUAAAGAAGACCUCAGCCUUCGCCUGAAAAAGCUGACUCACGCUGCCCCCUGCAUGCUGUUCAUGAAGGGAACACCUCAAGAACCGCGCUGUGGUUUCAGCAAGCAGAUGGUGGAAAUCCUUCACAAACACAAUAUUCAGUUCAGCAGCUUUGAUAUCUUCUCAGAUGAAGAAGUUCGACAGGGGCUCAAAACGUACUCUAAUUGGCCCACCUAUCCUCAGCUCUAUGUUUCUGGAGAGCUAAUAGGAGGACUUGACAUAAUUAAGGAGCUGGAAGCAUCAGAAGAGCUGGACACGAUCUGUCCCAAAGCACCCAAGUUAGAGGAAAGGCUCAAAGUGCUGACCAAUAAAGCUUCGGUGAUGCUCUUUAUGAAAGGAAACAAACAGGAAGCAAAAUGUGGAUUCAGCAAACAAAUUCUGGAAAUACUGAAUAGUACUGGGGUUGAAUAUGAAACUUUUGAUAUACUGGAAGAUGAAGAAGUGCGUCAGGGAUUAAAAACGUUCUCAAAUUGGCCAACCUACCCUCAGCUGUAUGUGAGAGGGGAUCUUGUUGGAGGAUUGGAUAUUGUCAAGGAACUGAAAGACAACGGUGAAUUGCUGCCUAUACUGAAAGGAGAAAAU
Mus musculus (house mouse) is the source of this 1006-nucleotide RNA transcript. It is a transcript of the gene named predicted gene 12669, with no coding region annotated. NCBI's taxonomy places the organism in Eukaryota, Metazoa, Chordata, Mammalia, Rodentia, Muridae. The record is from RefSeq and is marked provisional. The transcript has a single exon.